Durio zibethinus is the source of this 604-nucleotide non-coding RNA. The record is from RefSeq and is a predicted model, not a curated record. Lineage: Eukaryota; Viridiplantae; Streptophyta; Magnoliopsida; Malvales; Malvaceae.
AAGCAAGCUGUUGGAUUAAAUGCUGUACAAGUUUACAGUUGCAAGUCCUUCAUUUCAUCAUUUUAUGUUGUACCAGGUGAAAGAUCAUUUGUCACCAUCUUAACGCUGCUGCAAAAUAGAAGGAACUGGUGGCUUCUCACGUUCUCAAUUGUAAACAUUUGCAAUUCUACACUCCCCUAAAUUACCUGUCAAGCCAUAAUGCCUGAUGAAGACCCUAGUGACCAUUUCUUUGGUUCUUCUGGAAGCAAGACCAAUUCAAGCUCUAGAAUAAAAGGCUUAAGCAUGGUUAUACCAUACCACCUGGAGGAUCACGUUGUUCCAAAAUUUAAAACUGCAGCUAAGAAGACUAAAAAGAAAAUAGCUCACUCUGGGAGUGAACUAAAGUGGAAUUGUAAAUUUCACUCCUCUGCAGAACCCCAGUCUCCUUCUGAAUUUGCUUAUAUCAUCUUGACCAACUCUAUAGUUGCCUAGGUUUCCUUGUGUAAUAUUUGUUGGCUCUAUACUUUGUGUCUUGUCUGUUUUGUACUUUGUUUCUUGUCUGUUAACAGAAACAUGUCAAGAAUUUCUCUUUGUAUUAAUCAUUGAAAAUGUGCCAGAUUCUGUU